This 464-nucleotide ribosomal RNA is filed under the name uncultured bacterium. Its description in RNAcentral is "partial 16S ribosomal RNA". It matches the Rfam family "Bacterial small subunit ribosomal RNA", at positions 339 to 795 of the family's 1533-position model. The record is from RNAcentral.
CUACGGGCCGCAGCAGUGGGGAAUUUUGGACAAUGGGCGCAAGCCUGAUCCAGCCAUUCCGCGUGAGUGAAGAAGGCCUUCGGGUUGUAAAGCUCUUUCGCAAGGGAAGAAAACUUAUCCUCUAACAUAGGGUGAGGUUGACGGUACCUUGAUAAGAAGCACCGGCUAACUACGUGCCAGCGGCCGCGGUAAUACGUAGGGUGCGAGCGUUAAUCGGAAUUACUGGGCGUAAAGCGUGCGCAGGCUGUUUUGUAAGUCGGAUGUGAAAUCCCCGAGCUCAACUUGGGAACUGCGUUUGAAACUACAAGACUAGAAUAUGUCAGAGGGGGGUAGAAUUCCAUGUGUAGCAGUGAAAUGCGUAGAGAUGUGGAGGAAUACCAAUGGCGAAGGCAGCCCCCUGGGAUAAUAUUGACGCUCAUGCACGAAAGCGUGGGGAGCAAACAGGAUUAGAUACCCCCGUAGUC